RNAcentral lists this ribosomal RNA (465 nucleotides) under uncultured bacterium. Its description in RNAcentral is "partial 16S ribosomal RNA". It matches the Rfam family "Bacterial small subunit ribosomal RNA", at positions 338 to 795 of the family's 1533-position model. The record is from RNAcentral.
CCUACGGGAGGCAGCAGUGGGGAAUCUUCCACAAUGGGCGAAAGCCUGAUGGAGCAACGCCGCGUGGGUGAAGAAGGUCUUCGGAUCGUAAAACCCUGUUGUUAGAGAAGAAAGUGCGUGAGAGUAACUGUUCACGUUUCGACGGUAUCUAACCAGAAGGCCACGGCUAACUACGUGCCAGCAGCCGCGGUAAUACGUAGGUGGCAAGCGUUAUCCGGAUUUAUUGGGCGUAAAGGGAACGCAGGCGGUCUUUUAAGUCUGAUGUGAAAGCCUUCGGCUUAACCGGAGUAGUGCAUUGGAAACUGGGAGACUGGAGUGCAGAAGAGGAGAGUGGAACUCCAUGUGUAGCGGUGAAAUGCGUAGAUAUAUGGAAGAACACCAGUGGCGAAAGCGGCUCUCUGGUCUGUAACUGACGCUGAGGUUCGAAAGCGUGGGUAGCAAACAGGAUUAGAUACCCCUGUAGUC